Molecule: ribosomal RNA, 485 nt
Filed under: uncultured bacterium
Lineage: Bacteria
Description: partial 16S ribosomal RNA
Rfam family: Bacterial small subunit ribosomal RNA
Source: RNAcentral
AGUGAACGCUGGCGGCGUGCUUAACACAUGCAAGUCGAACGAGAACGGAAUAUAGCUUGCUAUAUUUGUCAGCUAAGUGGCGCACGGGUGAGUAAUGUAUAGAUAACCCGCCCUUAAGAAAGGAAUAACAGUUGGAAACGACUGCUAAUGCCCUAUAUGCCUUUAAUACAUAAGUAUGCAAGGGAAACGCUUUAGUGCUUAAGGAUGGGUCUGUAUGGUAUCAGCUUGUUGGUGAGGUAAUGGCUCACCAAGGCUAUGACGCCUAACUGGUUUGAGAGGAUGAUCAGUCACACUGGAACUGAGACACGGUCCAGACUCCUACGGGAGGCAGCAGUGGGGAAUAUUGCACAAUGGACGAAAGUUUGAUGCAGCAACGCCGCGUGGAGGAUGACACAUUUCGGUGCGUAAACUCCUUUUAUAUAGGAAGAUAAUGACGGUACUAUAUGAAUAAGCACCGGCUAACUCCGUGCCAGCAGCCGCAGUAA